AACGUAGGACGCAAGCGUUAUCCGGAGUUACUGGGCGUAAAGCGCGAGCAGGCGGCUCGACAAGUUCGCUGUGAAAGCUCCCGGCUCAACCGGGCGAGGCCAGUGGAAACUAUCGAGCUGGAGGGCAGUAGAGGCAGGCGGAAUUCCGGGUGGAGUGGUGAAAUGCGUAGAGAUCCGGAGGAACACCAGAGGCGAAGGCGGCCUGCUGGGCUGCGCCUGACGCUGAGCCGCGAAAGCCAGGGGAGCGAACGGG
RNAcentral lists this ribosomal RNA (253 nucleotides) under uncultured bacterium. RNAcentral's name for it is "partial 16S ribosomal RNA". It matches the Rfam family "Bacterial small subunit ribosomal RNA", at positions 524 to 776 of the family's 1533-position model. The record is from RNAcentral.